RNAcentral lists this long non-coding RNA (279 nucleotides) under Lathyrus oleraceus (garden pea). RNAcentral describes it as "Pisum sativum (pea) long non-coding RNA (PSAT_LNC006957)". The record is from RNAcentral. Lineage: Eukaryota; Viridiplantae; Streptophyta; Magnoliopsida; Fabales; Fabaceae.
UUUGAUUCAAAUAUUUUAAUCUUGAGUGUCCAUGAUGAUUACCAUCUAUGCAACGCGUUUCACUUGGCACAUGGUGGAUAGUGCGCGCGUGGACAUCAGAUCUGUCACCUCAAUUAAUGAGGGAGAUCUAAUGGCCCUUGUUUUUUCUAUUUUAAUUUUAAUUUUUUAUUUUACUUUUACUCCUUCUAUUUUGUUUAAUUCAUAAAAAUUUCAUUUUUAAUCCAAUAAAUAUGGGACAUUCACCAAAAAUCUCUAAAUAUUUUUCUAUUUCAUAUUUUG